Molecule: ribosomal RNA, 1314 nt
Filed under: Microbacterium oleivorans
Lineage: Bacteria; Bacillati; Actinomycetota; Actinomycetes; Micrococcales; Microbacteriaceae
Description: bacterial SSU rRNA
Rfam family: Bacterial small subunit ribosomal RNA
Source: RNAcentral
UGGGGAAAAGGUGGGAAAGGGGUUUAAACCGGAAUGAGGCGGAUCGCACGCCCACCAAUUGAAAAAUUUUUCGGUUUGGGAUGGCUCCCCGCCCUUCAGUUUGUGGCGAGGUAAGGCUCCCCAAGGCGUCGACGGGUAGCCGCUUGGGAGGGGGCCGGCCACAUUGGGAUUGAGCCACGCCUCAGAUUCUUACGGGAGGCAGCAGUGGGAAUAUUGCACAAUGGGCGAAAGCCUGAUGCAGCAACGCCGCGUGAGGGAUGACGGCCUUGGGGUUGUAAACCUUGCUCUGUGGGGAAGAGGCGAACGGGUGAGUAACACGAGAACAACCUGCCCCUGACUCUGGGCCAGCAGCCGCGGUAAUACGUAGGGCGCAAGCGUUAUCCGGAAUUAUUGGGCGUAAAGAGCUCGUAGGCGGUUUGUCGCGUCUGCUGUGAAAUCCCGAGGCUCAACCUCGGGUCUGCAGUGGGUACGGGCAGACUAGAGUGCGGUAGGGGAGAUUGGAAUUCCUGGAGUAGCGCUGGAAACGGCGUAUAUCAGGAGGAACACCGAUGGCGAAGGCAGAUCUCUGGGCCAAUACUGGAUAUGAGCUGCGAAAGCGUGGGCAGCAAACAGGCUUAGAUACCCUGGUAGUCCACCCCGUAAACAGUUGGAACGAUUUGUGGGGUCCAUUCCACGGAUUCCGUGACGCAGCUAACGCAUUAAGUUUUCGGUCUGGGGAGUACGGCCGCAAGGCUAAAACUCAAAGGAAUUGACGGGGACCCGCACAAGCGGCGGAGCAUGCGGAUUAAUUCGAUGCAACGCGAAGAACCUUACCAAGGCUUGACAUAUACGAGAACGGGCCAGAAAUGGUCAACUCUUUGGACACUCGUUAACAGGUGGUGCAUGGUUGUCGUCAGCUCGUGUCGUGAGAUGUUGGGUUAAGUCCCGCAACGAGCGCAACCCUCGUUCUAUGUUGCCAGCACGUAAUGGUGGGAACUCAUGGGAUACUGCCGGGGUCAACUCGGAGGAAGGUGGGGAUGACGUCAUAUCAUCUUGCUGCUUAUGUCUUGGGCUUCACGCAUGCUACAAUGGCCGGUACAAAGGGCGUCAAUACCGCGAGGUGGAGCGAAUCCCAAAAAGCCGGUCCCAGUUCGGAUUGAGGUCUGCAACUCGACCUCAUGAAGUCGGAGUCGCUAGUAAUGGCAGAUCAGCAACGCUGCGGUGAAUACGUUCCCGGGUCUUGUACACACCGCCCGUCAAGUCAUGAAAGUCGGUAACUCGUGUAGCCCCGGUCCUCAUCUCCUUCGCUGCAUCUCCUCUCCUUUACUUUGACUC